AAACAGCUCUACAGACUAACUCUGAUCCUGGUGGUGGUCCCCAGGGUCGCUUGUUUGUUCCUGUCUCUGUCCGCCCUCAGCUCUUCCAGUGGACCCACACAUCCCGGUUUACCUGCCAUCCUGGUGCUUUUUGCACCUUGUCUCUGCUUCAACACCACUUCUGGUGGCGAAUCAUGGCUGCUGACACCCGUGAGUAUGUCAAGGCCUGUACCGUGUGUGCCAGAGGGGAGGUAACUCAUCGACCACCUGCAGGUCUCCUCUGUCCGCUCCCAGUGCCCGGCCUUCCCACAUCGACUUUGUAACCAGAUUGCCUUUAUCCAAAGGUAAUGACACUAUUCUUACGAUUAUGGAUUGUUUCUCCAAAGCUGUACAUUUUGUGGCCCUUCCUAAACUUCCCUCAGCUAGAGAAACCGCAGAACUGUUGGUGAAUCGUGUGUUCCGGAUCGAUGGGAUUCCAGCAGACACUGUGUCGGAUAGAAGUCCCCAGUUCACGUCAAGGGUAUAGAAGGAGUUUUGCCAGGCACUCGGCAUGAUGGAGAGCUUAUCAGGAUACCACCCACAGUCUAACAGCCAGACGGAGAGAGCCAAUCAAGAUCUGGAGACAACGCUGCGCUGCAUAUGUGCUCGGAACCCAGCCUCAUGGAGUACACAUCUCACCUGAGGAGCAGGAGAUUGCCGUACCAUCGGUCCAGCGCAACCUCCGUAGGAUCUGCAGAAUCUGGAGGGAAACCAGAGCAGCUCUCCUGCACACCCAGCACCACAACCGGAGGUUGGCUGACCGGUGGCGUACUUCUGCCCCAGAAUACAAACCAGGACAAAAGUCUCGUGUUUUGCUGUCUUCUUGCCUGCCUGUGGACCUGCCUGCCUGUUGCCUGCUCUUCUUUGUUUCCGCUCUGUGUGAGUAUGCCGGAGAGAUGGACCUCUCUGCACCAUGCUGCAGCACCGCCAUCACCCUGCAGUGGACGCCGCAUCACAACAUCCUCAUCCUUGCUCUCACUGGUGACUUAACAAGUCAUGUUUGGUUCAACGUACCACCC
Acanthopagrus latus (yellowfin seabream) is the source of this 1037-nucleotide long non-coding RNA. RefSeq lists it as uncharacterized. The record is from RefSeq and is a predicted model, not a curated record. Lineage: Eukaryota; Metazoa; Chordata; Actinopteri; Spariformes; Sparidae. The transcript has 3 exons.